GCGGAGGGAUCAUUACACAACAAAAUAUGAAGGCCUGGCUUUGCGGCCGGCUGAAAUAUUUUUUUCACCCAUGUCUUUUGCGCACUUGUUGUUUCCUGGGCGGGUUCGCCCGCCACCAGGACCAAACCAUAAACCUUUUUUUUAUGCAGUUGCAAUCAGCGUCAGUAUAAACAAUGUAAUUAUUACAACUUUCAACAACGGAUCUCUUGGUUCUGGCAUCGAUGAAGAACGCAGCGAAAUGCGAUACGUAGUGUGAAUUGCAGAAUUCAGUGAAUCAUCGAAUCUUUGAACGCACAUUGCGCCCUUUGGUAUUCCAAAGGGCAUGCCUGUUCGAGCGUCAUUUGUACCCUCAAGCUUUGCUUGGUGUUGGGCGUUUUUGUCUCCCUCUUUGCUGGGAGACUCGCCUUAAAACGAUUGGCAGCCGGCCUACUGGUUUCGGAGCGCAGCACAUAUUUUGCACUCUGUAUCAGGAGAAAAGGACGGUAAUCCAUCAAGACUCUUACGAUUUUUAACUUUUGACCUCGGAUCAGGUAGGGAUACCCGCUGAACUUAAGCAUAUC
Molecule: ribosomal RNA, 560 nt
Filed under: Bipolaris maydis (southern corn leaf blight pathogen)
Lineage: Eukaryota; Fungi; Ascomycota; Dothideomycetes; Pleosporales; Pleosporaceae
Description: eukaryotic LSU rRNA
Rfam family: 5.8S ribosomal RNA (bases 187-340)
Source: RNAcentral